UAUGUCCUCUUGAAAGCAAAUAUUUAGGCUUCCGUAGAUGUUCAACAGUAUGAGUGGUAUGUCUGGGGAAUGUCUGACCGUUGAUUUUGUUGUCUAAUACUUUCAGAAUCUCUUUGGCAGUAACAGUCUUGAUGGAGGAAGCAGCCCUAUGAUCAAGCCCAAAGGAGACAAACAGGUGGAAUACUUAGAUCUCGACUUAGAUUCUGGGAAAUCCACACCACCACGUAAGCAAAAGAGCAGUGGCUCAGGCAGCAGUGUAGCAGAUGAGAGAGUGGAUUAUGUUGUUGUUGACCAACAGAAGACCUUGGCUCUAAAGAGUACCCGGGAAGCCUGGACAGAUGGGAGACAGUCCACAGAAUCAGAAACGCCAGCGAAGAGUGUGAAAUGAAAAUAUUGCCUUGCCAUUUCUGAACAAAAGAAAACUGAAUUGUAAAGAUAAAUCCCUUUUGAAGAAUGACUUGACACUUCCACUGUAGGUAGAUCCUCAAAUGAGUAGAGUUGAAGUCAAAGGACCUUUCUGACAUAAUCAAGCAAUUUAGACUUAAGUGGUGCUUUGUGGUAUCUGAACAAUUCAUAACAUGUAAAUAAUGUGGGAAAAUAGUAUUGUUUAGCUCCCAGAGAAACGUUUGUUCCAUAGUUAACACACUCGUAGUAUUACUGUAUUUAUGCACUUUUUCAUCUAAAACAUUGUUCUGGGUAUUCCCAAUGUACCUUACCAUAAUUCCUUUGGGAGUUCUUGUUUUUUGUCACACUACUUUAUAUAACAAUACUAAGUCAACUAAGCUACUUUUAGAUUUGGAAAUUGCUGUUUAAACUACAGUCUAACAACAUUAAAAUGAGAGG
Molecule: small RNA, 843 nt
Filed under: Pan troglodytes (chimpanzee)
Lineage: Eukaryota; Metazoa; Chordata; Mammalia; Primates; Hominidae
Description: retained intron
Source: RNAcentral